CUGCUUGCUUAGACAGCACAUACACUAAAACUGGAAUAGCACACAGAAGAUUAACACGACCCUGCAUAAAAUGAUAUGCAAAUUCACAACGUGGUCCAUAUUUUG
RNAcentral lists this small nuclear RNA (105 nucleotides) under Echinops telfairi (small Madagascar hedgehog). Lineage: Eukaryota; Metazoa; Chordata; Mammalia; Afrosoricida; Tenrecidae. The record is from RNAcentral.